GACUGAGCUUCCUCUCGCCUUUAAGCACUUCCUAAACAAGAUGAAAACCUUACAAAUGCCGGAAAGUCGGCCACUGGAGCGCUUGGUUCAUUUCAGUUUUCACAGUGGUCCCCCCUUGUCCGCAGUUUUACUUUUGGGUUACCCAGGGUCCAAGAAUAUUAAGCGGAAGAUUCCCAAAAUAAACAGUUUGUGCGUUUUAAACUGCGCGCUGUUGUGAGUGGCGUGAUGAACUCUCUCGCUGGCCUGCUCCGACCUGCCUAGGAGGGAAGCGUCCCUCCGGCCACCCUCCGGCCACGCUCCCUGCCCCGGGUCACGUCGCCAUCUCGGCCUCGAGCGCUGGUGUUCAAGUCCCCCUUAUUCUACGUAACAGUGGCCCCCAAACACCAGAGCAGUGGUGCCGGCAACCCACAGAAGCCACAAGUGUUUCCUUUAAGUGAAAAGGUCAAAGUUCCCUCCUUACUUUGGAAAGAGAGAAACUGUGCUAACGUUGCUAAGGUCUGCAGUAAGAACAAAUCUUCUGCCCGUGAGAUUGUGAAGGAGGAAAAAGAAAUCCGUGCUAGUUGCUGUUGCACCUCAGACGGCAAAGGUUGCAGCCACCGUGAGUGGUAAGCCCUCGCUGUCAGGAGCUGGUGCCAUCUCUCUGGGCCCGUCUCCCCAUCUUCAAAACGGAGCCCGAGGGCCACCCGCUGUUCAAGACGAAAGAUGAGAAACAGGCAGAGAGAAGCAAAGAGCUGCUCUUGGUCCCACUUGCCAGCUCCCCGCCUGUCCACCUGGGUACCGGCCCCAGCACCUGGCCCAGCGCUUGUGAAAGGACCGUAGGGCCUGCAGGGGGCAGGACAGAGGGUCCGCAUGGCCUCGCCCCCCUCUUCGAUGGCAGGGGCCGGCUGGGUGGUCCCCUUUACACACAGGGGGCCAGGCAAGGCCAUGGCCAGCGCGCCAGGUGCGGGGACACCCCAGGAUCCCAAUCCCGAGUCCAGGAGAGUCUGGGACCGGGCGCGAGCCCCCAGGUUAACGCUGCGCCCCAGCAGCGCGGAGGGGACCCGUAGGUGCAGAGCCGGGAAGGGACCUGCCUCCGGUCUCACCUCUCGGUCCCGAUCUG
Long non-coding RNA from Myotis davidii, 1099 nucleotides. RefSeq lists it as uncharacterized. NCBI's taxonomy places the organism in Eukaryota, Metazoa, Chordata, Mammalia, Chiroptera, Vespertilionidae. The transcript has 3 exons. The record is from RefSeq and is a predicted model, not a curated record.